RNAcentral lists this ribosomal RNA (752 nucleotides) under uncultured Escherichia sp. RNAcentral describes it as "bacterial SSU rRNA". It matches the Rfam family "Bacterial small subunit ribosomal RNA", at positions 8 to 749 of the family's 1533-position model. The record is from RNAcentral. Lineage: Bacteria; Pseudomonadati; Pseudomonadota; Gammaproteobacteria; Enterobacterales; Enterobacteriaceae.
AGAGUUUGAUCAUGGCUCAGAUUGAACGCUGGCGGCAGGCCUAACACAUGCAAGUCGAACGGUAACAGGAAGAAGCUUGCUUCUUUGCUGACGAGUGGCGGACGGGUGAGUAAUGUCUGGGAAACUGCCUGAUGGAGGGGGAUAACUACUGGAAACGGUAGCUAAUACCGCAUAACGUCGCAAGACCAAAGAGGGGGACCUUCGGGCCUCUUGCCAUCGGAUGUGCCCAGAUGGGAUUAGCUUGUUGGUGGGGUAACGGCUCACCAAGGCGACGAUCCCUAGCUGGUCUGAGAGGAUGACCAGCCACACUGGAACUGAGACACGGUCCAGACUCCUACGGGAGGCAGCAGUGGGGAAUAUUGCACAAUGGGCGCAAGCCUGAUGCAGCCAUGCCGCGUGUAUGAAGAAGGCCUUCGGGUUGUAAAGUACUUUCAGCGGGGAGGAAGGGAGUAAAGUUAAUACCUUUGCUCAUUGACGUUACCCGCAGAAGAAGCACCGGCUAACUCCGUGCCAGCAGCCGCGGUAAUACGGAGGGUGCAAGCGUUAAUCGGAAUUACUGGGCGUAAAGCGCACGCAGGCGGUUUGUUAAGUCAGAUGUGAAAUCCCCGGGCUCAACCUGGGAACUGCAUCUGAUACUGGCAAGCUUGAGUCUCGUAGAGGGGGGUAGAAUUCCAGGUGUAGCGGUGAAAUGCGUAGAGAUCUGGAGGAAUACCGGUGGCGAAGGCGGCCCCCUGGACGAAGACUGACGCUCA